RNAcentral lists this ribosomal RNA (433 nucleotides) under uncultured bacterium. RNAcentral's name for it is "partial 16S ribosomal RNA". It matches the Rfam family "Bacterial small subunit ribosomal RNA", at positions 29 to 507 of the family's 1533-position model. The record is from RNAcentral.
AACGAACGCUGGCGGCAUGCCUAACACAUGCAAGUCGAACGAGACCUUCGGGUCUAGUGGCGCACGGGUGCGUAACGCGUGGGAACCUGCCCUUAGGUUCGGAAUAACUCCCCGAAAGGGGUGCUAAUACCGGAUAAUGUCUUCGGACCAAAGAUUUAUCGCCUUUGGAUGGGCCCGCGUUGGAUUAGCUAGUUGGUAGGGUAAAAGCCUACCAAGGCGACGAUCCAUAGCUGGUCUGAGAGGAUGGUCAGCCACACUGGGACUGAGACACGGCCCAGACUCCUACGGGAGGCAGCAGUGGGGAAUAUUGGACAAUGGGCGAAAGCCUGAUCCAGCAAUGCCGCGUGAGUGAUGAAGUCCUUAGGGUUGUAAAGCUCUUUUACCCGGGAUGAUAAUGACAGUACCGGGAGAAUAAGCUCCGGCUAACUCCGUG